GGGCUGUAGUCGGUCCCAAGGGUUGGGCUGUUCGCCCAUUAAAGCGGUACGCGAGCUGGGUUCAGAACGUCGUGAGACAGUUCGGUCCCUAUCCGUCGCGGGCGCAGGAAUUGAGAGGAGCUGUCCUUAGUACGAGAGGACCGGGAUGGACGCACCGCUGGUGUACCAGUUGUUCUGCCAAGGGCAUCGCUGGGUAGCUAUGUGCGGACGGGAUAAGUGCUGAAAGCAUCUAAGCAU
RNAcentral lists this ribosomal RNA (237 nucleotides) under Bacillus licheniformis. Its description in RNAcentral is "partial 23S ribosomal RNA". It matches the Rfam family "Bacterial large subunit ribosomal RNA", at positions 2550 to 2788 of the family's 2925-position model. Lineage: Bacteria; Bacillati; Bacillota; Bacilli; Caryophanales; Bacillaceae. The record is from RNAcentral.